This 669-nucleotide ribosomal RNA is filed under the name Triticum aestivum (bread wheat). RNAcentral's name for it is "partial small subunit ribosomal RNA". Lineage: Eukaryota; Viridiplantae; Streptophyta; Magnoliopsida; Poales; Poaceae. The record is from RNAcentral.
AUGGCGAGCGGCUCCGGGGAGCACUUCCUGAGGCAGCUGAGCUCCAGCAACGGGCUGCAGGCCGCGCAGGACGGUUACGGCGGCGGCGGCGGCGGCGGGAGGAGGAGGGGCUCCAGGCGGUGGUCCAAGAAGCGGGCCGGGAGAGGGUACGGCGGCGGCGGGAAGGGGGAGGCGGCGUCGUCCUCGGCGGCCGCGGGGAGGAAGCGGGUGAUGGUGGUGGUCGACGACAGCUCCGGGGCCAAGCACGCCAUGAUGUGGGCGCUCACCCACGUCGCCAACCGGGGGGACUUCCUCACCCUGCUCCACGUCCUGCCGCACUACGGCGCCGGAGCGGAGGAGGCGCCCUCCCUCGCCAACUCCCUCGGCACUCUCUGCAAGGCCUGCAGGCCUGAGGUGGAGGUGGAGGCGCUGGUGAUCCAAGGCCCCAAGCUGGGCACCAUCCUCAGCCAGGUGAAGAAGCUGGAGGCCUCCGUGCUGGUGCUCAGCCAGACCAAGCCCUCUACCUUCUGCUGGCUAAGCUGCUUGGCGCGGAGCAGCGGGGAGGAGCUGGUGGAGCAGUGCAUCAACCAGGCCGAGUGCCUGACGCUGGCGGUGAGGAAGCAGAGCAAGGGCGUCGGCGGCUACCUCGUCAGCACCCGGUGGCAGAAGAACUUCUGGCUCCUCGCCUGA